UACGAAGGGUGCGAGCGUUGUUCGGAAUUACUGGGCGUAAAGGGUUUGUAGGCUGAAAUGUAAGUCAAGUGUGAAAUCCCCGAGCUAAACUUGGGACGUGCAUUUGAAACUGUGUUUCUUGAGUAUCGUAGAGGGUGGUGGAAUUGUAGGUGUAGGAGUGACAUCCGUAGAGAUCUGCGGGAACAUCAGAGGCGAAGGCGACCACCUGGCCGAUGACUGACGCUGAGGAACGAAAGCGUGGGGAGCAAACAGG
RNAcentral lists this ribosomal RNA (253 nucleotides) under uncultured bacterium. RNAcentral describes it as "partial 16S ribosomal RNA". It matches the Rfam family "Bacterial small subunit ribosomal RNA", at positions 524 to 776 of the family's 1533-position model. The record is from RNAcentral.